This is an RNA transcript of Folsomia candida, 2563 nucleotides long. It is a transcript of the gene named phosphatidylinositol 4,5-bisphosphate 5-phosphatase A, with no coding region annotated. The transcript is spliced from 6 exons. Lineage: Eukaryota; Metazoa; Arthropoda; Collembola; Entomobryomorpha; Isotomidae. The record is from RefSeq and is a predicted model, not a curated record.
AAUAAUAAUACCUCACUGCCUAUUUUCCAUACAUUUGUUCUCCACUUAUCGCGUAAUAAUAAUCACGGUGGUGAGAUGAUGAUGGGUCGACAUUAUCAUUGAAGGUCUACAACUGGUUCGUGUGAGCGUAAUAGUGCUUCACAGUAUAUGUAAUACGGAGCAGGAGAGGUUAUGAAAUCAGAGCAACCGAUAUAUUCUUCAUUUCAGUCAUUACUUGCACUUUGAUAGAGAGUCAUUAAAUUAUUGAUUUUUCAAUAGCGUCGUUUCACCACUGGAAAGAUUAAAUGCAAUAAAAUUCAAGUUUCACACAAGAAUCACAUAGUGCUGCUAAAAUCUGUCAUUGUCAUUGUGCAUUGUCAUGAGACGACUGGACUAAGCAAUCUCAAGGAUGUUAUUUUCUCGUAACAAAAAGAUAACGAACUGAUUAUUCCUCGAUUCACUAGUCAUUACUCUCCUCUCAAUUCUGCGACAGAGGGACAAAAUGGAAGAUUUUCUCGUCUAUAGCCUCACCUAUAAUGUAGCAACUCGGUUUCCGGGACCAGGAGAUGACUUUCGCCCAAUUCUUGGGCUCGACACGAGUUCCUCGUCCACAUCCACCUACGUCAAAAUUCCAGACAUGUACAUCAUUGCACUCCAAGAAGUCAAGGCCCAACCACAGAAUAUGGUGUGGGACACGUUGUUUGAUGACCCUUGGACGGCCAAAGUGAAAGAUGCAUUGGCUCCUUUCAGCUUUGUCAAAAUCCACACCCUGCGCAUGCAGGGAUUGGUGACCAGCUUGUAUUUGAAACGGAGUCACUUGGUUUACCUUCGGGACGUGGAGACCCUUUGGACAAGGAGGGGUUUUGGGGGGAUGUGGGGUAACAAAGGGGCAGUUUCCAUCCGCCUCGUGCUCCACGGGUGCUCUCUCUGUAUAGUCAACUGUCAUUUGACCCCACAUGACCACAUGCUCAAAGAGAGGAUAUCUGAUUACCAAGAAAUUCUUCAUGGACAAACUUUCUCCUAUCAAGAAACGUCCAAUAUUUUAUUUCACGACUACGUAUUCUGGAUGGGAGACUUUAAUUUCCGCCUCAAUGGAAACACGACAUCGGAUGAGAUUGUGGACGGUGUGUCAAAUGGAAAAUGCUCAGAACUUUUAAAAGAGGACCAACUACUUCAAGUUCGAAUGAGUGGAGAAGCUUUUUCUGAACUCCACGAACUCCCAAUUACAUUUCCACCUACGUACAAAUUUGAAACUGGAGUUGACAACUAUGAUUCCAAACGAAGACCUGCCUGGACUGAUCGGAUACUGUACCAUGUGAAUGCCAGUGCGUAUGAUAACGUGACAUUAAAAGUCGAGGGAAAUAAUUACAAGGCCCAUAUGCCUUUCAGAUGUAGCGACCACCGUCCUGUGACUGCAUCCUUUCAAAUCCGUGUCUUCCGACCCACCACACUUAAACUGGUCGACUUUGUCAAUGUUCCUCUUUGGUAUACUGGAGAAAGUAAUAAAGUGUUCUUCAAAGUAGUUCCAACUCUAGAAACGUCCCCGGACGACUGGAUCGCUAUUUUUAAGGCAGAUUUUACAAGCAUUGAUGAUUAUGUGGCGUAUGUCUACGCAACCCUGCCUCACAUUGAUGCGGAAGAGGAGGGUAGAGUGUCGACAGAUGAGUCAAGUGGGGAGCGCAGCGUCACAUUUUCCGAAAACAGUAUCAACUUUGACGGCUCGUACGUUCUCAUGUACUUUGCCCACGCAUCUCGAUCCAUCUAUGGUAUGAGCAAUGUCUUUGAAUCAGCGUCCAGAGGAUUGGCCGCAGGUGCGGACCUAUAGAUAUUAAUACAGUGUAUUUCAUAAAAACUGUCCAAAUCUAGAGAUCAAAUUAUGUAUGUACAUGCAUGUACGAGCUAAGUAAACUGAUCAGUAAUACGCUGAGCAAGCGCUCUCAAGUGACGAUUAGCACAAAAUUGAUAUUAUAAAGCCUUAUUAUCUAGCAGAUAAUUGUCUAGUAAUAACUGGGCGUCCUUUAUUUAUGAAUGUGUCAAUUCAAUACACAAAUUUUUAUUACGAUAUUGCAUUUGGCAUGCACAUGCUUGUCAGAGUCUUGGGAUUAACGAAAGUGGGAUUAAUGAUUAGGAUUACGGAUUGAUUUUAAAAAAUUCGGGAUUGAGGAUUGAGAUUAGGGAUUAAAUUAACUCGGGAUUAAAUCUCUCAAGUCAUUCAAUGGGAUUAGGGAUUAGGAUUAAUUUAGUCCAAUUUUAAUCCCGGAAUGGGAUUAAAGUCGUGUUUAUCGUCGAUCACAUUUAUAUCUAGUUAAUGUUUCUGAUGUCUUAAUUAAAUUGUUUUAUAAGUCUUAACAGUGCGAUUGAAUUUGAAUAACCUAAUGACCAUAUAAAUAAUGACCUAAAGUCUGGAUUAAUAAUUAGGUACCCAUUUAUGCAGCAUAAUGUUUGUUAAAUUUUAGCAUCUCUGUAUUAAUAACUGCUACUUAAUUUUAUCCAAGUUGAUAACCUUUUAUCCUGUUGCAUUUGUUUAAUAUGUUAUAGUAAACAGCAGAAAAUUUAAAAGUGGCAAUAAAACUGUAAUAUGUAA